This 305-nucleotide ribosomal RNA is filed under the name uncultured bacterium. Its description in RNAcentral is "bacterial SSU rRNA". It matches the Rfam family "Bacterial small subunit ribosomal RNA", at positions 335 to 638 of the family's 1533-position model. The record is from RNAcentral.
CUGCCUACGGGGGGCAGCAGUGAGGAAUAUUGGUCAAUGGGAGAGAUCCUGAACCAGCCAAGCCGCGUGAGGGGAGACGGCCCUAUGGGUUGUAAACCUCUUUUGUCGGAGAACAAAACCCGGGACGAGUCCCGGACUGCGUGUAUUCGAAGAAAAAGCAUCGGCUAACUCCGUGCCAGCAGCCGCGGUAAUACGGAGGAUGCGAGCGUUAUCCGGAUUUAUUGGGCUUAAAGGGUGCGUAUGCGGUCCGUUAAGUCAGCGGUAAAAUUGCGGGGCUCAACCUCGUCGAGUCGUUGAAACUGGCA